This 253-nucleotide ribosomal RNA is filed under the name uncultured bacterium. Its description in RNAcentral is "partial 16S ribosomal RNA". It matches the Rfam family "Bacterial small subunit ribosomal RNA", at positions 524 to 776 of the family's 1533-position model. The record is from RNAcentral.
UACGUAGGGUGCAAGCGUUGUCCGGAAUUAUUGGGCGUAAAGAGCUCGUAGGCGGUUCGUCGCGUCGGCUGUGAAAUCCCGAGGCUCAACCUCGGGUCUGCAGUCGAUACGGGCGGACUGGAGUACUGCAGGGGAGACUGGAAUUCCUGGUGUAGCGGUGAAAUGCGCAGAUAUCAGGAGGAACACCGGUGGCGAAGGCGGGUCUCUGGGCCGAUACUGACGCUGAGACGCGAAAGCGUGGGGAGCGAACAGG